RNAcentral lists this unclassified non-coding RNA (354 nucleotides) under Hevea brasiliensis (rubber tree). The record is from RNAcentral. Lineage: Eukaryota; Viridiplantae; Streptophyta; Magnoliopsida; Malpighiales; Euphorbiaceae.
UUUUUUUUUUUUUUUGUGUUUUUCAUUAUUUAUAUCUAUGGCUAGGUUUUUUUCACUUAACAUUCUACUUUUAAAAUCGGGUAUAAUGCAGUAGCUUAUUGAUCAGGGUUCUUCCCUGUGUUUUGUUAAGUUUUUGCUUGCAUUAUCUUUUAUCUUUCAUCAAUUCUUAAUAAAAAGCUUCUUGUUUAUAAAAAUAAAUAAAUAAAUAAGAUUUAAAAAAUAGUUUUAAGUUUUUUUUCACUAUUUUUCUUUAUAAUAGAAGUUAUAUAUUUUAAAAUGAUUUCUUAUAAUUAAAAUUACACUAUGACUUUUCAUAACUAAAAUUAAAUAGUUAUUUAGGAAAAUAUUUGCUUA